UGGGGGUAUCGCCUAGCGGCAAUGGCAAGAGACUGUAAAUCUCUCGACUUCGGUCUGCGUUGGUUCGAGUCCAACUGCCCCCAA
This 84-nucleotide transfer RNA is filed under the name Candidatus Rubidus massiliensis. RNAcentral's name for it is "tRNA-Tyr". It matches the Rfam family "tRNA". Rfam says of the family: Transfer RNA (tRNA) molecules are approximately 80 nucleotides in length. Their secondary structure includes four short double-helical elements and three loops (D, anti-codon, and T loops). The record is from RNAcentral. Lineage: Bacteria; Pseudomonadati; Chlamydiota; Chlamydiia; Chlamydiales; Chlamydiaceae.